RNAcentral lists this ribosomal RNA (1023 nucleotides) under Lactobacillus sp. Ammopor2. Its description in RNAcentral is "bacterial SSU rRNA". It matches the Rfam family "Bacterial small subunit ribosomal RNA", at positions 49 to 1040 of the family's 1533-position model. Lineage: Bacteria; Bacillati; Bacillota; Bacilli; Lactobacillales; Lactobacillaceae. The record is from RNAcentral.
CUAUACAUGCAGUCGAGCGAGCAAAGUUAAAGGAAUACUUCGGUAGGAAUUUAAUAGCGCGAGCGGCGGAUGGGUGAGUAACACGUGGGCAAUCUACCCUUUAGCUUGGGAUACCACUUGGAAACAGGUGCUAAUACCAAAUAAGAAGUAAGAGCGCAUGCUCAAGCUAUGAAAGGCGGCUUUCGAGCUGUCACUAAAGGAUGAGCCCGCGGUGCAUUAGCUAGUUGGUAAGGUAACGGCUUACCAAGGCAAUGAUGCAUAGCCGAGUUGAGAGACUGAUCGGCCACAUUGGGACUGAGACACGGCCCAAACUCCUACGGGAGGCAGCAGUAGGGAAUCUUCCACAAUGGACGCAAGUCUGAUGGAGCAACGCCGCGUGAGUGAAGAAGGUUUUCGGAUCGUAAAGCUCUGUUGUUGGUGAAGAAGGACAUGGAUAGUAACUGAUCUAUGUUUGACGGUAAUCAACCAGAAAGUCACGGCUAACUACGUGCCAGCAGCCGCGGUAAUACGUAGGUGGCAAGCGUUGUCCGGAUUUAUUGGGCGUAAAGCGAACGCAGGCGGGAAAACAAGUCAGCUGUGAAAGCCCUCGGCUUAACCGAGGAACGGCAACUGAAACUGUUUUUCUUGAGUGCAGAAGAGGAGAGUGGAACUCCAUGUGUAGCGGUGAAAUGCGUAGAUAUAUGGAAGAACACCAGUGGCGAAGGCGGCUCUCUGGUCUGUAACUGACGCUGAGGUUCGAAAGCAUGGGUAGCGAACAGGAUUAGAUACCCUGGUAGUCCAUGCCGUAAACGAUGAGUGCUAAGUGUUGGGAGGUUUCCGCCUCUCAGUGCUGCAGCUAACGCAUUAAGCACUCCGCCUGGGGAGUACGACCGCAAGGUUAAAACUCAAAGGAAUUGACGGGGGCCCGCACAAGCGGUGGAGCAUGUGGUUUAAUUCGAAGCAACGCGAGAACCUUACCAGGUCUUGACAUCUAGUGCAAACCCUAGAGAUAGGGUGUUUCCUUCGGGAACACUAAGACAGGUG